CACAUGCAAGUCGAACGGCGUAUUUCUUGGAGGCUCGGCCAAGAGAGUUAAGCUAGUGGCGGACGGGUGAGUAACGCGUGGAGAACCUGCCCUGUACUGGGGGAUAACAGUGAGAAAUCACUGCUAAUACCGCAUAAGCGCACGGCACCGCAUGGUGCUGUGUGAAAAACUCCGGUGGUACAGGAUGGCUCCGCGUUGGAUUAGCCAGUUGGCGGGGUAACGGCCCACCAAAGCGACGAUCCAUAGCCGGCCUGAGAGGGUGAACGGCCACAUUGGGACUGAGACACGGCCCAGACUCCUACGGGAGGCAGCAGUGGGGAAUAUUGCACAAUGGGGGGAACCCUGAUGCAGCGACGCCCGCGUGAAGGAUGAAGUAUCUCGGUAUGUAAACUUCUAUCAGCAGGGAAGAUGAUGACGGUACCUGACUAAGAAGCCCCGGCUAACUACGUGCCAGCAGCUGC
This 461-nucleotide ribosomal RNA is filed under the name uncultured bacterium. RNAcentral's name for it is "bacterial SSU rRNA". It matches the Rfam family "Bacterial small subunit ribosomal RNA", at positions 52 to 518 of the family's 1533-position model. The record is from RNAcentral.